RNAcentral lists this ribosomal RNA (440 nucleotides) under uncultured bacterium. RNAcentral describes it as "partial 16S ribosomal RNA". It matches the Rfam family "Bacterial small subunit ribosomal RNA", at positions 338 to 795 of the family's 1533-position model. The record is from RNAcentral.
CCUACGGGAGGCAGCAGUGGGGAAUAUUGCACAAUGGCGGAAACCCUGAUCCAGCGACGUCGCGUGAGUGAAGAAGUAUCUCUGUAUGUAAAGCUCUUUCAGCAGGGGAGAAAAUGACGGUACCUGACCAAGAAGCCCCGGCUAACUACGUGCCAGCAGCCGCGGUAAUACGGAGGGGGCAAGCGUUAUCCGGAUGUACUGGGUGUAAAGGGAGCGUAGACGGCAGGGCAAGUCUGGAGUGAAGGGGGGGGGCUCAACCCCGGGACUGCUCGGGGAACUGCCAGGCUGGAGUGCGGGAGAGGUAAGUGGAAUUCGUGGUGUAGCGGUGAAAUGCGUAGAUAUUAGGAAGAACACCAGUGGCGAAGGCGGCUUACUGGACUGUAACUGACGUUGAGGCUCGAAAGCGUGGGGAGCGAACAGGAUUAGAUACCCUAGUAGUC